This 468-nucleotide ribosomal RNA is filed under the name uncultured bacterium. RNAcentral describes it as "partial 16S ribosomal RNA". It matches the Rfam family "Bacterial small subunit ribosomal RNA", at positions 28 to 507 of the family's 1533-position model. The record is from RNAcentral.
GACGAACGCUGGCGGCGUGCUUAACACAUGCAAGUCGAACGGAAAGGCCCUGCUUUUGUGGGGUGCUCGAGUGGCGAACGGGUGAGUAACACGUGAGUAACCUGCCCUUGACUUUGGGAUAACUUCAGGAAACUGGGGCUAAUACCGGAUAGGAGCUCCUGCUGCAUGGUGGGGGUUGGAAAGUUUCGGCGGUUGGGGAUGGACUCGCGGCUUAUCAGCUUGUUGGUGGGGUAGUGGCUUACCAAGGCUUUGACGGGUAGCCGGCCGGAGAGGGUGACCGGCCACAUUGGGACUGAGAUACGGCCCAGACUCCUACGGGAGGCAGCAGUGGGGAAUAUUGCACAAUGGGCGGAAGCCUGAUGCAGCAACGCCGCGUGCGGGAUGACGGCCUUCGGGUUGUAAACCGUUUUCGCCUGUGACGAAGCGUGAGUGACGGUAAUGGGUAAAGAAGCACCGGCUAACUACGUG